AAAACGUUAGUCAUUUGUUAAACUUGCGUAUUUUGGCAGUGGAGUUCAGUCAAUUAUUCGUGAAAAAAUUAAUAAGGAUUUAUUUAUUUAACAUGUGGCAAUCGGGAGCGUUGGCUUUUGUUUUUCUGAUCCUCUUAUUUGUUUAUGUGAUGAAUGCGGUGAGCCUAGAGGUGGUUGAAGCUGAUGGAUAUGAUGAAACCGACUUCGAAACUUUAUAAAUGAAAAGACCUACUUUGUGAAAAUUACCUUCCACUGAACUAAUUAAGUUAUUGUAGUAAUAAUGUUUAAUAAAAUAAUAAUAUUAAAAUUUUGAAAUGUU
Molecule: long non-coding RNA, 319 nt
Organism: Ostrinia nubilalis (European corn borer)
Lineage: Eukaryota; Metazoa; Arthropoda; Insecta; Lepidoptera; Crambidae
Exons: 3
Source: RefSeq, a predicted model, not a curated record